This 324-nucleotide ribosomal RNA is filed under the name uncultured eukaryote. RNAcentral's name for it is "partial 18S ribosomal RNA". It matches the Rfam family "Eukaryotic small subunit ribosomal RNA", at positions 1470 to 1796 of the family's 1831-position model. The record is from RNAcentral.
CCCUUAGAUGUUCUGGGCCGCACGCGCGCUACACUGACGAAUGCAACGAGCUUAUAACCUUGGCCGAAAGGUCUGGGUAAUCUCCAAAUUUCGUCGUGAUGGGGAUAGAUUAUUGCAAUUAUUAAUCUUCAACGAGGAAUUCCUAGUAAGCGCGAGUCAUCAGCUCGUGCUGAUUACGUCCCUGCCCUUUGUACACACCGCCCGUCGCUCCUACCGAUUGAGUGCUCAGGUGAAUAAUUCGGACUGCAGCAGUGUUUGGAUCCCGAACGCUGCAGCGGAAAGUUUAGUGAACCUUAUCACUUAGAGGAAGGAGAAGUCGUAACA